GCGGGCGUAGCUCAGUGGUGGAGCUUGUGCUUUGCACUCAUGAGGCCCCAGGUUCGAUCCCUGGCAUCUCCA
This 72-nucleotide transfer RNA is filed under the name Camelus bactrianus (Bactrian camel). It matches the Rfam family "tRNA". From Rfam's summary of the family: Transfer RNA (tRNA) molecules are approximately 80 nucleotides in length. Their secondary structure includes four short double-helical elements and three loops (D, anti-codon, and T loops). Lineage: Eukaryota; Metazoa; Chordata; Mammalia; Artiodactyla; Camelidae. The record is from Rfam by way of RNAcentral. RNAcentral also lists the same sequence under 2 other names.